RNAcentral lists this ribosomal RNA (497 nucleotides) under uncultured bacterium. RNAcentral's name for it is "partial 16S ribosomal RNA". It matches the Rfam family "Bacterial small subunit ribosomal RNA", at positions 28 to 507 of the family's 1533-position model. The record is from RNAcentral.
GACGAACGCUGGCGGCGUGCCUAAUACAUGCAAGUAGAACGCUGAAGAGAGGAGCUUGCUCUUCUUGGAUGAGUUGCGAACGGGUGAGUAACGCGUAGGUAACCUGCCUUGUAGCGGGGGAUAACUAUUGGAAACGAUAGCUAAUACCGCAUAACAAUGGAUGACACAUGUCAUUUAUUUGAAAGGGGCAAUUGCUCCACUACAAGAUGGACCUGCGUUGUAUUAGCUAGUAGGUGAGGUAAUGGCUCACCUAGGCGACGAUACAUAGCCGACCUGAGAGGCUGAUCGGCCACACUGGGACUGAGACACGGCCCAGACUCCCACGGGAGGCAGCAGUAGGGAAUCUUCGGCAAUGGGGGCAACCCUGACCGAGCAACGCCGCGUGAGUGAAGAAGGUUUUCGGAUCGUAAAGCUCUGUUGUAAGUCAAGAACGGGUGUGAGAGUGGAAAGUUCACACUGUGACGGUAGCUUACCAGAAAGGGACGGCUAACUACGUG